AUCUGCCUUUGAGCGGGGGACAACACCUUUAAACGAAUGCUAAUACCGCAUAAAAACUUUAAACACAAGUUUUAAGUUUGAAAGAUGCAAUUGCAUCACUCAAAGAUGAUCCCGCGUUGUAUUAGCUAGUUGGUGAGGUAAAGGCUCACCAAGGCGAUGAUACAUAGCCGACCUGAGAGGGUGAUCGGCCACAUUGGGACUGAGACACGGCCCAAACUCCUACGGGAGGCAGCAGUAGGGAAUCUUCGGCAAUGGACGAAAGUCUGACCGAGCAACGCCGCGUGAGUGAAGAAGGUUUUCGGAUCGUAAAACUCUGUUGGUAGAGAAGAACGUUGGUGAGAGUGGAAAGCUCAUCAAGUGACGGUAACUACCCAGAAAGGGACGGCUAACUACGUGCCAGCAGCCGCGGUAAUACGUAGGUCCCGAGCGUUGUCCGGAUUUAUUGGGCGUAAAGCGAGCGCAGGUGGUUUAUUAAGUCUGGUGUAAAAGGCAGUGGCUCAACCAUUGUAUGCAUUGGAAACUGGUAGACUUGAGUGCAGGAGAGGAGAGUGGAAUUCCAUGUGUAGCGGUGAAAUGCGUAGAUAUAUGGAGGAACACCGGUGGCGAAAGCGGCUCUCUGGCCUGUAACUGACACUGAGGCUCGAAAGCGUGGGGAGCAAACAGGAUUAGAUACCCUGGUAGUCCACGCCGUAAACGAUGAGUGCUAGAUGUAGGGAGCUAUAAGUUCUCUGUAUCGC
RNAcentral lists this ribosomal RNA (737 nucleotides) under uncultured bacterium. RNAcentral's name for it is "bacterial SSU rRNA". It matches the Rfam family "Bacterial small subunit ribosomal RNA", at positions 124 to 849 of the family's 1533-position model. The record is from RNAcentral.